AGCGACGCCGAGCCCGGGACCGGGACCGGGACCGGGACCUGGACCGGGCCGCCGUGGAACAGCAGAACUAACUGCCCCAGAUCAAUGGCUUUCACCGAUUCCUCCCACUCAGUUAAGAAUACAAGCAAGACGUUAUCAAAUUACUGACAUAGUGGCAAUGGUUCAACAUCGCACUGCACUGCACUAACCGCAUGAAAGAGUUGCAUGUGGACCAGACAAGUGGGUGGAAAGGAAGUCUCCCGUCCUUGUUAUCGAAGACUGCUUUCUUGAUGUGGCAUCUCCAGGGCAUUCCCUGAUGUCUUGUCCCAAUGUUCAUUCUUCAUAUGUAAGCCCAAACACUGAAUAUUGUCAAACACAAUGAACUGCAGAAACUGGUUUACAAAAAAAGGUACAGCGCUGGAGCAACUCAGACUCAAUGUUCUUCAGUCUGAAGAAGCAUUCCAACCCGAAACGUCACCUAUCCAUUUUCUCCAGAGAUGCUGCCUGACUCACUGAGUUAUCCCAGCACUUUGUGACAGAAGAUUGUCAAAUUGAUUGACCUUUGGUACAUCCCAGCUUCUCUCAACUCUGCCCUUGUUGAUGCUAAACAAUACACACAAACAUUCAGGACGGUCAACGGAAAUCGAAAACCAGCUGAAUUUUCUGCUCCCCGGGCCAACAUCUGGUUCCUAUUCUAUUGCCUCAGCUGCCCUGAUUGCAGAGAUCAGCCAUCUCAUCGCUGAAUAGGGACCAAAUCUAGAAUCUUCCUUCUCUGUGCAGUUCAAUUAUAACUUUCUUCACCAACUCUGUUUGAGUUUGAAAAAUUCUCAUCUUCUCCAGAGUUUGAUUGUGCAAAUUAUUUACCACCCCUUUCUUUCUGAACUAGGAAAACUUAAACCCUAAUAAAUUGGAACACAUUACUAAUAAUCCACAAUUGAAAGAAUGGAAACCCCUCAAGCAAUGAAUGCCUGGUAUUAAGAAUCUGAAAUAUUUUCAAAGGUUAAACGCUCAUGACAGGCCUCUGUCCUCUACAAGAAUUUCUUCAACUGUUUUGUGGUUACUUAUUCUGUGUAUCAUGUCCCCCUUGGGAAUGUAAAGAAAACAGUAUUCCUGCCUCAUCCAGACAAAAUCUGCAAGUACUAAAAGCAAUUACUUCACCCACAUCAGGAAAACUGGGGAAUUUUUUGGUGAAUGUUGUGAGUUCCAGAGGAUUUUUUUACCCGACUACACCCCUAUCUCUCACAACUGGUGCCAAGGGAUGUUGCCAUAUGAAAACAUCGCUGUCAACAGCAAUCAAUAUUACUUGCGUUGCAACAUUCCAGGCACUGCUAAGGCCUCAUUUAGUUACUUUGUUUCUGAAAAAGCUCCCCUGUUUCAUUGUACUUGUGGAUAGGUUUCUUAUUUUAAAUGAAACCUGACUAAAUAUAACAAUGACAUUGAAAAUUGAAUCAAAAAGUUAUUGUCAAGCAAACAAAUGUCCUAUUGUUCGAAGCACUACCAAGGCAAAAUUGAACGUAAGGAGCCAAAUCAUUGAGGUAAGCGGUUCCUAAGGGAAGCAAUGGUGUUCUGCACCUGAGUUUGAAGAAGAAUAUGAAGAAGAGUCCGGAAGACUGAAAUUAUGUUUGUGAACCAAAUUAUGGUUUCACAAUCAGCCACUCAAUCUUAGAUCUCACCAAAUAAAUACAUUUCUGGAUCAGUAACAGAGCCUUAAGUUCA
Amblyraja radiata (thorny skate) is the source of this 1695-nucleotide long non-coding RNA. RefSeq lists it as uncharacterized. The record is from RefSeq and is a predicted model, not a curated record. The transcript is spliced from 3 exons. NCBI's taxonomy places the organism in Eukaryota, Metazoa, Chordata, Chondrichthyes, Rajiformes, Rajidae.